UACAGAGGGUGCAAGCGUUAAUCGGAAUUACUGGGCGUAAAGCGUGCGUAGACGGUUAUGUAAGUCAGAUGUGAAAGCCCCGGGCUUAACCUGGGAAUGGCAUUUGAGACUGCAUAGCUAGGGUGCGGAAGAGGGAAGCGGAAUUUCCGGUGUAGCGGUGAAAUGCGUAGAUAUCGGAAGGAACACCAGUGGCGAAAGCGGCUUUCUGGUCCAGCACCGACGUUCAGGCACGAAAGCGUGGGGAGCAAACAGG
Molecule: ribosomal RNA, 253 nt
Filed under: uncultured bacterium
Lineage: Bacteria
Description: partial 16S ribosomal RNA
Rfam family: Bacterial small subunit ribosomal RNA
Source: RNAcentral